GAUGAACGCUGGCGGUGUGCCUAAUACAUGCAAGUGGAGCGAACGAACAAGAAUUGCGCUUCUCUGAUGUUGGCAACGGGCGGGUGAGUCACACGUGGAUAACCUAGCUGUACGACAGAGAUCACGUCGGGAAGCGGGAGCUCAUGCCGUAGAAUAUUUUGAUCAGCAUGUUUCCAAAGGGAAGCACGGUCUUCCUGUCACGUAGAGAUGCGUCCGCGCUUCAUUAGCUGGUUGGUAAGGUAACGGCCUACCAAGGCAACGAUGGAUAGCCGGCCUGAGAGGGUGAUCGGCCACACUGGAACUGAGACACGGCCCAGACUCCUACGGGAGGCAGCAGUAGGGAAUCUUCCGCAAUGGGCGAAAGCCUGACGCAGCAACGCCGCGUGAGGGAUGAAGGUCUUAGGAUUGUAAACCUCUGUUAGUAGGGAAGAACAUAUGUGUAAGUAAAUGUGCGAAUCUUGACGGUACCUAAACAGAAAGCCACGGCUAACUACGUG
RNAcentral lists this ribosomal RNA (497 nucleotides) under uncultured bacterium. RNAcentral describes it as "partial 16S ribosomal RNA". It matches the Rfam family "Bacterial small subunit ribosomal RNA", at positions 28 to 507 of the family's 1533-position model. The record is from RNAcentral.